Molecule: long non-coding RNA, 568 nt
Organism: Danio aesculapii
Lineage: Eukaryota; Metazoa; Chordata; Actinopteri; Cypriniformes; Danionidae
Exons: 3
Source: RefSeq, a predicted model, not a curated record
UUCGAAAUCAAAGGCUCCAAUGUCGAACAUGAGGAAGUAUCUGCAGGACCCCACCUGUAUCUUUCCAUCCUGGGCUCCAGAGGCGAUCACGUGGGAGUCGUGACUUACUGCCAGACAUAGCACAGCUUCAUCCAUCAUCAUGAAAUUAUCCUGAGCCUGGUACUUCAGAUCCUGCCCACAAACGGUUACAGUAUCCUCAUGAAUCAUUGUCUGGCAAGCAUUUCUCCCUGGAUGAAAGCCCAUCAUCUCGGGCUGAAUAUACUGAAAAAUGCUGUGCUGCUGCUGCUAUUCACCCAGCCAAGAACUACCAGUGCCAAUGCCCUGUCAUUUCAAUACACAACUCACUGAAUUCAUCCACAUAGAAUGCCAAAAACCUUGACGUCACAGCAGACAAAGACCUGUCAUUUUCAGCCCACAUACCAACCGCUGUCAAGACGAGUUCCACCAGAAGGAAAUCUGUAAAGUCGAACAAUUCUCACCAGAGCAGCUUAAGAUUCUGCUGUAGGACCUGGAACAAUAACACAUUUACAAUUUGUUCACAAAUGCAAAGUUUGGCUUGAUUAAAAUA